Molecule: long non-coding RNA, 1537 nt
Filed under: Theobroma cacao (cacao)
Lineage: Eukaryota; Viridiplantae; Streptophyta; Magnoliopsida; Malvales; Malvaceae
Description: long non-coding RNA (TCAC_LNC005293)
Source: RNAcentral
CAAACCAGGAGAGAAAGAGGGAAAAGAAAUAAGAACCCUAGCUGAAACAUUUGGGGAAAAUCAAGAGAAAUCAAGAAAUCAAGCAUUAAAAAGGUAAAUUUCAUUGAUUUUCCUUGUGAUUUUCACUACCCAUGCAUUUUUUCUCAUUUCCAUGCAAAAUUAGAAAGUGGGUAUGGACACCCAUGCUGGCCAAACCUCCAUGGAUGAGUUUUGAGUUUGAGUUUUGGUUGAUUUUAAUUGAAUUAAGUGAUUUUUGUUAGGUUAUAUUGAAAUAUAGCAAAAAUAAGCUAGAGAAAUAAUUUUCUCCCAUUGAAACCCAUUAUGCCGAAUUUUCUAGGGGAAUAUUGGCUGCUGAUCUUGAUGUUUAUUUGAGGAAUUAUGAUGAAUAAUGAUGAAUUAUGAGCCUAGAAAACUAAUGGGAAUUUUUAGAGCAAAAAUAUAAAUUUUUACCCACUAGGGGUAUUUUUAUAAUUUGCUAUCGGGACUGAUAAUUUGCACCACACUGAGGGACAUUAAGUCAAUUUGGGUGUAAUUGAGGUAUAAAAACUGAAAAAAAUUAAUUUGGAGUUUAAACAGACGCGUAUAUCGAUUUAUCAGGUAAAAGAUCGAAAUAGGCUAACACCGUGUUUAGGCAAAAUUUAGACAUUUUGCUCUUCAUAUCAUGCAUUAGUAGUAUAAAUUAGUUUAUUUUGGUUUAGUACCAAAGUAGUAAACCUCUUAAUUGUGCAAUUUGUCAAGGUGGCGAAUCCUCUAGCAAGGGCAAAGAAAUCGCACCCGAUGAGUAAUAGUUGGAGUACCCGAAUUUAGUUUUCAAAAACUGUGAGUAAACUUAUUAUCGUCUUAAUUAUCUAGAGUAGUUUUAUACAAUUGUGUGAUUUUAUAGAAAAUGGGUUUAAAUGGUAUAUUACUGUGUUUUAGGAGAAAUUGUGAUUUUAUAAAAUGAUUUUAUAGAUUUUCUGGAAAAUUGAAUACUAGUUUUGAAAAUAGAAUGAUUGAAAACUACCCGCUUGUGUUAUAAAUUGUGUUUUAAAUUAUAUGGCUUAUAGCAAUAUGUGAGCAUGAAUGGCAAAGUCUGUAUUUGUAUCAAAAUUAUAUAUACUAUGUAUUCAGCCUUGAGAGGCUAGAUUUCGAUAAAUUGUCAUGUCAUUCAUAUAAGGAUUUUAUAAAUCAAGUGGUAGAUAAAAUAAAGAUUAGCUACUGCAGUGGCGGGGUUCCGUGGACCAGCCUAUUAGAGGGGCAUGAUAAACUCCUUUAUAUUCUCACCUCGAUCGUAAAGGCGCGUAGGGUAUCUCCUGAGAUGGGCUUUUUGAGUGCACUUCACGUGGACCACCACGUGAGAGUGAGACUCAGCCAACACCAAGGCAUGGCUAGAAUUUUUGAUGUAAAGACAUUUAACAGCCUUGGUGGACUCGGUCAGAUGCCUAGGUCAAGGCAUCCCCGGGAAUGAUUUUGGCAGGAGCCAAGUUUUGUGAGAUAUAUAAGCCAUGUUGAUUAAUUGAGUAAACUGAAUAUUCAUGUUAUGAAACAUAUAUUGGAA